Molecule: long non-coding RNA, 1001 nt
Organism: Astatotilapia calliptera (eastern happy)
Lineage: Eukaryota; Metazoa; Chordata; Actinopteri; Cichliformes; Cichlidae
Source: Ensembl
GUAACGAAUAAAUACUCUUUAAGAUUCAUCACCGAGGGGAAAAGAUGGGGCUGGAAAAAAUAGUUCACCUUCUGUCUGUGAAGCAUGACGAUCCCUACCUUUUGGUGUUCCUUUAUUCAUGUUUUGUUUUCUGUGCAUAUCGUGCAUAUCGCGUUUCUUUAUAAUUUUCUAAUGAAUAGCACGCCAAGAAUUGACAGAGAAAGUUGCAUUGAUUUCCGAUUUCAUAUCUGUUAAGUGAUGUAAGCUCCAGCUAUUCCAGUUACAUCAAGGCUGUAAUGAAAAAACAGAACUGCCGCCAUCUGGGGCGAAAUGAUGCGAGUAUGCAGAUUAAAAGAAAAAACUCACCUCAACAUGUGCCUCCAUCAAUAUAUUCCGCAUAAAAGAUGAAAAAAAAAUCCAUCCAUAUAUGAAUUAAAGCUCGAGUGGAUUUGAGCAAAGAAUGAAGCAGUUAGCUUGUGUGUUCGGUUUCACUUUUACUUUGCUCGGCCCUUCAGGCACAAUUCCUACGCAAGACUUACCAGUAACUCCGAUUUGCGUUCAUCGCUGUGGUCAGUUUUGUUCUUGCAGCUUCCCGAAUCCAGCUUCUUAUAUACAAACAGUCCAGUCGAUAUUAAUUAUUUUUACGUUUUGUAAUAAAAUGUAAAACAAUUACACUGGUUUACAUUUAAAUCGUGCCGUCGCAUCUGAAUUGAAAGCGAAAUGCUGGCGGACUUUCCCCGGAAACUGAUGACGCUUCAUUUUAAAAAAACAAAAAACAAAACGCUUAUUUAAAAAACGCAUAAAACUCUAGCCAACACCGCGGCCUUUUAAAAGACGCGCACAAAAUAAUUAAUUAGCAGUUAACUAAUGUCAACGAUGAAAUGUGUCAACAAAAAUAUGUACAAGCAUCUUACAUCACACACUGUGUCCUCACACAGCCCCACGUAGCCUAGGCGUCUCAUUGUCGCAGUAAUAAUAGCCUACUGCUGCGACACCAAGGUUUCCUGGAUCUUUUGUUUUUG